This 1064-nucleotide long non-coding RNA is filed under the name Vulpes vulpes (red fox). Its description in RNAcentral is "lncRNA (ENSVVUG00000021446.1)". Lineage: Eukaryota; Metazoa; Chordata; Mammalia; Carnivora; Canidae. The record is from RNAcentral.
GGGGCUGCCCAGAUUUAGUAAAAUCUUGCAACGUGAGCCAGAAAACUGAAAAUGAAGCAUGGAGCAACAACUAGCACUUUGCAUUCUGUGUUCCUGACGCUGUUACAGAUAAAGCUCCAAGAAGGCAACUGGCUCGUGCAAGGGGACAUACCGUCUAUUUGGAAAGACCUCAGUUCCGGAAGCCUGUUCACACGCACUAUCCUAGCGAAGCUUCCCGAGGCUGCGAGGAAAAGAGAGAAUUCUUCGUAUUUCGGAAGUGCCCUGCCCUGCCCUGACCUGCUCAGGCUUAGGAUCCCACAGCCAGGGGAGGUGGGGUUCAGAUUGGGGUCUUCUGAGCCCAGCUCUGCUGAUCCUCAGUAGCCCACCUGGCAGCCUCCACCAGUCCCGAGGCCCCGAGCUGUAGAGAACAAGGUUACAAGAGGCGAGUUUAUUUUAUUUUAUUUUUUUUUACGGAUUUUAUUUAUUCAUUCAUGAGAGACAGAGAGAGAGACAGAGGGAGAAGCAGGCUUCCUGUGGGGAGCCCGACACAGGACUCGAUCCCAGGACCUCGGGGUCACGCCCUGGGCUGAAGGCAGGUGCUAAACCGCUGAGCCACCUGGGCUGCCUUUCCUUGUGCUUUUAAAAUGUUCCUAAAUGGCAUUAAGUUUAAAGGAUUAUAGUGUUAAAUUAUUUCUAUUACAUAUAUACAUAUUUUUCAUGGCCUUUAGAUAUCAGAUUGGAUUGAGAAGUGACUGCACAAAAUCUGGCUCAAUUAUGAAAGAUAAAGCCUAUCAGCAGUACAGUGUCUUCGGUGGGCAAAAUCAAAUUGUUUACGACUACCAGAUACUUUCUAAGCUCCCCAAGGACCACAUAGGAUAGGUUUUAUGGUACAGCUGUAAUACUGAGGCAUAGAGACAGUAAGUAAUUUGCCUAAAAAUCAAAAGCUGCGAGGCUUUUGAUCCUGGAGACCCAGGAUCAAGUCCCACAUCAGACUCCCUGCAUAGAGCCUGCUUGUGUCUCUGCCUCUCUCUCUAUGUCUCUCAUGAAAAAAUAAACACAAUGUUUAAAAUACGAAAAAAUAAAAG